AUUGAACGUUGGCGGCAUGCUUAACACAUGCAAGUCGAACGGUAACAGGCCCUUCGGGGUGCUGACGAGUGGCGGACGGGUGAGUAAUGCUUAGGAAUCUGCCUAGUAGUGGGGGAUAACCCGGGGAAACUCGGGCUAAUACCGCAUACGCCCUACGGGGGAAAGCGGGGACGUUUCGGCCUCGCGCUAUUAGAUGAGCCUAAGUCCGAUUAGCUAGUUGGUAGGGUAAUGGCCUACCAAGGCGACGANCGGUAGCUGGUCUGAGAGGACGACCAGCCACACUGGGACUGAGACACGGCCCAGACUCCUACGGGAGGCAGCAGUGGGGAAUAUUGGACAAUGGGCGCAAGCCUGAUCCAGCGAUG
This 365-nucleotide ribosomal RNA is filed under the name uncultured bacterium. RNAcentral describes it as "bacterial SSU rRNA". It matches the Rfam family "Bacterial small subunit ribosomal RNA", at positions 30 to 396 of the family's 1533-position model. The record is from RNAcentral.